This 255-nucleotide ribosomal RNA is filed under the name uncultured bacterium. RNAcentral describes it as "partial 16S ribosomal RNA". It matches the Rfam family "Bacterial small subunit ribosomal RNA", at positions 524 to 776 of the family's 1533-position model. The record is from RNAcentral.
UACCGAGGGUGCAAGCGUUGCUCGGAAUCCUUGGGCGUAAAGGGCAGGUAGGUGGUCUGAUUUGUCUGGAGGUGAAAGCCUUGGGCUUAACCCAAGAAGUGCCCCGGAAACGGUCAGCCUUUGAGUCUUGGAGAGGGUUGCGGAAUUCCCGGUGUAGCGGUGAAAUGCGUAGAUAUCUGGAGGAACACCGGUGGCGAAGGCGGCAUCCUGGACCGGCAUUGACGCUGAGGCGCGAAAGCGUGGGGAGCAAACAGG